This 497-nucleotide ribosomal RNA is filed under the name uncultured bacterium. RNAcentral describes it as "partial 16S ribosomal RNA". It matches the Rfam family "Bacterial small subunit ribosomal RNA", at positions 28 to 507 of the family's 1533-position model. The record is from RNAcentral.
GAUGAACGCUGGCGGCGUGCCUAAUACAUGCAAGUCGAGCGAACAGACGAGGAGCUUGCUCCUCUGACGUUAGCGGCGGACGGGUGAGUAACACGUGGAUAACCUACCUAUAAGACUGGGAUAACUUCGGGAAACCGGAGCUAAUACCGGAUAAUAUAUUGAACCGCAUGGUUCAAUAGUGAAAGACGGUUUUGCUGUCACUUAUAGAUGGAUCCGCGCCGCAUUAGCUAGUUGGUAAGGUAACGGCUUACCAAGGCAACGAUGCGUAGCCGACCUGAGAGGGUGCUCGGCCACACUGGAACUGAGACACGGUCCAGACUCCUACGGGAGGCAGCAGUAGGGAAUCUUCCGCAAUGGGCGAAAGCCUGACAGAGCAACGCCGAGUGAGUGAUGAAGGUCUUCGGAUCGUAAAACUCUGUUAUUAGGGAAGAACAAAUGUGUAAGUAAAUAUGCACGUCUUGACGGUACCUAAUCAGAAAGCCACGGCUAACUACGUG